Struthio camelus australis is the source of this 3149-nucleotide non-coding RNA. The record is from RefSeq and is a predicted model, not a curated record. NCBI's taxonomy places the organism in Eukaryota, Metazoa, Chordata, Aves, Struthioniformes, Struthionidae.
ACUAGGAGGCAGUCCUUGCAGGGCUGACACCCAGGGGCUUUUGGACACCGCUGGAUGCUUUGGGGUCUCAUGUCAGCUUGAUCUGUGCAGGACACAGGUAGACUUGGACAAAGCUGGAGAUGGGGUGUUUGUAAGCGCACUGGCACUUGCCAUGCACCCAACAGGGACAGUGGACAGUAGCUUCUCCCGCUCUGCUGUGCAGACCCUCUCCCGGAGCCACUGCCGCAACAUCAAACAGAAGAUCUCCCAGUGGGAGGGGAGGACACAGGGGUGCUCCAGCGAGAAGCAACAGCUGAAGGACUUUGGGGUAAAGUAUGAGCCAGGCUGUGAUGCUCUAUGUAAAGUGAAGCCAGGGCAUACAGAGAAGGGCAGAAAGACUGAAUCUGAAGAUCCAAAGAACCUGGGCCUGGACUUUAGGGAAAAUGCAAGGAGCCGCUUGCAGACUGAUGACUGUGGUGACCUCAGGCCACGUGCAUGCAGCCUGGUUUCCCAGGCCAAGGAGAAUGGAGACUGGCAAGCAGCCUUCUUGGACUCAGGGGAGAAACUGCCCCCAGGCAACUUCUACGCUUCACAAGGGCUGUGGAAGAAAGUAGAUCCCCUUCCACCUGACAAAACCCUGGCAGUGCCCUCGGACCCUCAGAGGAAGCGAGAGAGCUGUGACUCCACGGAAAGAGCGCUUAAAGCCAAGGGAGUGGACUCUCUCUGCAGGGCAGAGAGGAGCUUGAAAAACAUUUACGCAGAGGCUGAGGGGCAAGAGAUGGGGCCAGCAGCUGUCCCACCGCCCAAACCCCGUAGGACUUUCCGCUAUCUUGCAGAAAAGGACCCCAGGAGCUGCAGCGAUGCCAGCGCUAAAAAGGAAGCUGCCCUGCAAAAUCAGUGUGGAGGAGACAUGGUGUCAUCCUCUCACAGUCCUGAGCAGAGAGUAGCCAGCAGAAGGAUCAGAGGAAGAACUCAGAGGAAAUCCUUUGAGUUUGAGGACAUCCAGGGCUUCCGCAACCGAAUGGUGGCCACUAGCUCCCGCAAACUUCAGGAAGAGACAAAAGGCACCACAGGAUCCAGGCUUUUCUACACACAGUCAGAAGAUAACAUCUAUGAGGACAUUAUCUGUCCUGUGAAAGAGAACCCCUAUGAAGAUAUCAGAGCGCUGCCUUUACCCCUGUGGAAGGUCCCAUCUGUCUGGAAGUUACCAACCCCCCGGAGCGCCAAUAGGGCUCCCAAGCUUCCCCCCAAGCCUCCCUUUCUCAGUCGCAAGACUCUUGAGCUAAAGCCUUCCCAGACAAGUUUGCAAGGGAAAAUGUUGAAGGACAUAACCCUGCCUGUCACGCUGACAGAGUGGAAGCUGUUCCAAGCAGCAGAGGCUGCUAGCAGGAGAAAGAACUUGCCCUGGCUUGUACUAAAAGUACAGGAGAUCUUUGAUUCUAAACGCGGAAAGAGGGUGAAGUUGCUCAGUUCCAGUGGGAAAGAAGCUCCUCCAAAGAAAGGUGAAACCAGUGGGAAUGAAAGCAAUACAGAAAAUCAGCCAAAAAGUCGACACAGGUGCCUGCUGCAGGUGCAGUCAGCCUGCAAGAGGAACCCACACUACCAGACGUUGGAGAGGGAUUUGAUAGAGCUCCAGGAACAGCAGCUAUUUGAGCUGUUUGUGGUGGUGUCGCUACACAAGAAGGCAUCGGAGAUGACAUACACACCUCAAAUCAUACAGCAGUUUCCCAGCAAGCCUGAACAUCCCUUCAGACAGUCAAAGGAUACUGAAGAGAGGCUAAAGGUCAUUCCCAAAUUCUGCUUUCCAGAUCCCAAAGACUGGUUUCCUACAUCGGACCUUAAAAGCGAAACGUUUUCUUUUGUGUUGACGGGUGAGGAUGGCAGCCGCUGGUUUGGAUACUGCAAGAAGCUCCUGCCAGAAGGGAAAGGGAAGCGCCUUCCGGAGGUGUACUGCAUUGUUAGCCGCCUGGGCUGCUUCAACCUCUUCUCCAAGAUUUUAGAUGAAGUGGAGAAGAGACGAGAGAUGUCCCCAGCCCUAGUGCACCCAUUUAUGCGUAGUGUCAUGGAGGCACCUUUCCCUGCUCCUGGACGCACUAUUACUGUGAAGAGUUUCCUGCCAGGAGCAGGAAAUGAGGUUAUGGAACUCUGCCGUCCAUUGGAUUCUCGACUUGAACAUGUUGACUUCGAAUGCCUAUUUAAGUGUUUAAGUGUCUCUCACAUGAUUCGGGUCUUUGCCUCUCUCCUGCUGGAAAGGAGGGUGAUCUUUGUUGCUGACAAUUUAAGCACUCUGUCUAAAUGUGGCCAUGCUGCAGUGGCCACGCUUUAUCCCUUCACUUGGCAACACACCUACAUACCAGUCCUACCAACUUCCAUGAUUGAUAUUGCUUGCUCUCCGACCCCGUUCCUAAUUGGCAUUCUCUCCUGCUCGUUACCACAGCUCCAGGACCUGCCCAUAGAAGAGGUUCUGAUUGUUGAUCUUUGUGCUGACCGGUUUUUGCAAGAGGUGAGUAAAAUAAGUGUUGGCUGCUCACGGCUAUGUGCUGGGAAAGAGCACUGACGAAAUGUAAGCAAGAAAUCAGCAAAAGCUAGUAUUCAUAUGCAGACUGCGGGGGGUCCAGGUAAUAUCCUGCAUUCCUUUUAGAUCCACAGAGAAGCAAAGGGAACAGGCUUGCAAGGAUCCUUUUUGCAAGGUUGAGGUUACAUGAGAUACAGAGCCCUAUGAAGCUGAAGGUGUUGCUUACUUGGGCUGUCUUAGAUACUUAGUUGGUUUGUUCUGUUAAGUGGACCACUAGGAUUCUUUGCUGCUUUCUGGCUGUCUUUCUGUGCACUUGAUCUCUACAGGGCUUUAUCCUCUCUCAUCUAGGUGUGUGGUUUUUUCCAGGAACGAUGAUCUAGAAAACAAACUAUCAUAGUUCUCUUGCAAUUCUCUGCUGGCCCCAAAUUUUCCCUAAUGUACAGACAGUGCCUUCUACAUCAGCAGACAGAUCACUAUAAAGAUCCUGGAGCAUUAGUAGUUCAGGAGGGUAUUUGCCUCUCCUUUCCCUUGCCUUAUUGUUCUAUUUUGCGUUGCAGCCUGCAACUGGAGAAAGGUAUCAGAUGAGGAUGAGAUCCUGCCUCAUAAGCUCCAGGCUGCACUUGAACAAAUCUUGGAGGAACGAAAUGAAAUCUUG